This is a long non-coding RNA of Etheostoma spectabile (orangethroat darter), 170 nucleotides long. RefSeq lists it as uncharacterized. Lineage: Eukaryota; Metazoa; Chordata; Actinopteri; Perciformes; Percidae. The transcript has 3 exons. The record is from RefSeq and is a predicted model, not a curated record.
CACUCUACCUCUGUCUCCUUUUAAAAACUCACUCGUCCCACCCCUCCGUGAAGUACAGCUGAGCUGACGGUGUACAAACUAUAUCCCAACAUAGGGCCUACUGCACAGUGAACUCCAAAAACAGCGAUGAAAAAGUAGGCCCAUCUAAACGUCUGUGUGAAUGCGUGCAU